UUGUGGUGUAUAUGGCAAGACCGAAAUCACUACAUCUUCGAGGGGAAAGCCCUGCACCCGAAGCAGACUCUACACAGAUCAGCGGCUCUCCAAGCGAACUUCGAAACCUGGAACAAGAAGACAGACAAGGAGAAUCAGCGAGAGAAUCGCUCGCACCGGUGGCAACCCCCGCCCCCCGACUCACUCCGAGCACAUAUAGACGCUUCCUUCGUCCAGCAAGAAGCCGUAUCAGCUAACCUGGCCGAGAACAGAGGAGAUCGGGAAAACAAGGCAGCCAUCGCCUGCCUCUGUAGAGACUCACAGGGACGCCUAAUCGAUGGAUUCUCCAAGACGGUGGAGGCAACCUCGGCGGAACAAGCAGAAGCAAUCUCCCUCUUGGAAACCCUAGCCUUUCUCUCCAGCCGCACGAACAGAAGAUGGGAAGUACAUUCUGACUGUCAACAGCUC
This 447-nucleotide long non-coding RNA is filed under the name Eucalyptus grandis. Its description in RNAcentral is "long non-coding RNA (EGRA_LNC004953)". The record is from RNAcentral. Lineage: Eukaryota; Viridiplantae; Streptophyta; Magnoliopsida; Myrtales; Myrtaceae.